UCAAAUAAUAGCUCAAUAUCUGAAAUUUUAGGUGGGGGAGUGGAUCAGUUCGUUGGAUGGAGGUACUGUUUAUUAUUACUAUUAUUAUCUGUUUUUUCCCCUUGACUCUUACAGAAGUUAAAAGUCGCCAUGCUGUUAAACAUUUAACAAUAUUUGUAAAUAGUUGUAUGUAUAAUUAUUCCUGCUUCUGACAAGGAAAUAUAGAAAAGUGCAAUCAUAACAUGUUAAAGCUUAUUGAUUGAGGACCAAUGGUCCUAUCAUUAAGCUUUAACAUG
Molecule: unclassified non-coding RNA, 275 nt
Filed under: Hevea brasiliensis (rubber tree)
Lineage: Eukaryota; Viridiplantae; Streptophyta; Magnoliopsida; Malpighiales; Euphorbiaceae
Source: RNAcentral